RNAcentral lists this long non-coding RNA (537 nucleotides) under Mytilus galloprovincialis (Mediterranean mussel). The record is from RNAcentral. Lineage: Eukaryota; Metazoa; Mollusca; Bivalvia; Mytilida; Mytilidae.
GUUUUCUUAAAACCAUAUUAUGGUAUAAAAACUUGUCAAACAUUCCUAGUUUAGUAUUGUAACACAACAUAUUGCAUUUAAUCAAUAAUUAUAUUUUAAGUUUCUUCUAUUGUUAUCUUGUCAAUUCUUGAUUGGAAAAUUUACCUGUAAUCACCUGUCAAUGGACAUCAUUACUGUCUGCAGUCAUGUGAUCAUGAGUAAAACUCCAAAGUUGAAUAGAGCUCUUUGUUAAUACUUAACUUUCAUUAUCAAAAGUCAAUUAUGGUCAAUAGCACAAAUGUUUCAACAAAAGAAUUGUUGUACACAUGCAUUCUCAAGAGAUGCAGCAGGCUUUGACAAAACUGAAACUUUCGGAGGACUCAAUAAGGGUCAUGAAAUAGGUUGCAAGUUGCAAAAUCAUGCUCCUAUCUCACACUAGCAUUUAAUUACAAAAAACUUGCAUUAUACAUCAAUUGGUCUAUACCAAUAUACCUCAAUUGGUGGAUUAUACGUCAAUUGAGGUAUAAUCCACCAAUUGGUGGUUAUUCCUGACCUGUU